CCAUUUUAUAAAUUCAAAAACUGAAGACAAGAAAGCAAUUAAAGAAGUUGCUCAACGUUACACAGCAAGUUGUAGAGAAGAUAUUCCACCUCAGUGGGUCUGACUCCUUUUCCUUAAAAUAGGAAGAUGAUCCGCUACAUAUUGAAUCUGGUGAAUUUGAACAAGCAACUAAGAAAAAGCAAAAUGGCUACAAAGAAGUCCAGACAAGAACAUAAAUGACUGAAUCAAGUUAGAUUUGACUAUAGAAAAUAAUCUUUUUCUUCAAUGAUAGGGAUCAAACCCAGGGCCUCCUCACAUAUGCAAGGCAAAUGCUCUACCACUGAGCUACAUACCCAGCUCCAAGAGGAAAACAUACAAGAGGCUCCUAUCCUGCUAUACUGUUGCCCUGUGUGAAUUUCAGGCCCAUUAUUGCCACUUCUUAAGACUUUUUCUGAAAAGAUGGAAAUCUGGAUUCAUAUAUACAAUCUCCUAAUACUUAAAUGUCAAUUAAUUCAAGCGUCAACACUACUGGGUUGUGAGCGCAAUAGCGCUCAUCUGUAAUACCAGUGGCUGGUGUGGCUGAAGCAGGAGGAUAGUAAGUUGAAAGCCAGCCUCAGUAACUCAGAAAGACCCGGUCUCUAAACAAAACAAUAAAAAGGGAUGGGGAUGUGACUUACUGGUUCAAACUGGUUUUGUACUGGGUUCAAUCCCCAGUACAAAAACAAAAAACACUAAUGUGGCCCAAACUAAAUAUGGCUGCAGAUUUGCCUCUCUGAUCAAUAAGCUGUUAGAAAUUCAGUAUUGGAUUUAGAUUGGAAGAUGUAUGAUUAGGGAAUCCUUCAGCACAGAGGAUAGAAAUGCUGUAGAAGUAGUAUGCACUGGAAUAACUACCAGCAUAUAACAUUUGUUAAAACAAUGCAAAAAUAUAUGUUAACAAGACAGGACUCUUUCAUGUUUUUUCUUUUUUUUUUUUUUAGCCUUAUAGAAAGCUGACAAAAUAGAAGUGUAAAACUAGCAGUUGGAAGUAUGUUUAGUUCAGUUUUCUAUGAACUAAAUUUUUAAAUUCCAGACAAUGACUUGAAUUUUCAGGUAUCCAACAUGUGAUGGAAACAUUUGAAAUUGUGAAAAUAUUUUUAUCCCCACUGAUUG
Molecule: long non-coding RNA, 1128 nt
Filed under: Marmota monax (woodchuck)
Lineage: Eukaryota; Metazoa; Chordata; Mammalia; Rodentia; Sciuridae
Source: RNAcentral